Molecule: ribosomal RNA, 431 nt
Filed under: Cyphellophora fusarioides
Lineage: Eukaryota; Fungi; Ascomycota; Eurotiomycetes; Chaetothyriales; Cyphellophoraceae
Description: eukaryotic LSU rRNA
Rfam family: Eukaryotic large subunit ribosomal RNA
Source: RNAcentral
UGACCUCGGAUCAGGUAGGAAUACCCGCUGAACUUAAGCAUAUCAAUAAGCGGAGGAAAAGAAACCAACAGGGAUUGCCUUAGUAACGGCGAGUGAAGCGGCAACAGCUCAAAUUUGAAAUCUGGCCUCUUUGGGGUCCGAGUUGUAAUUUGGAGAGGAUGUUUCGGGUACGGUCCGGGCUUAAAUUUCUUGGAACAGAAUGUCAAAGAGGGUGAGAAUCCCGUCUGGAGCUCGGACACGGCCUAUGUGAAACUCCUUCGACGAGUCGAGUUGUUUGGGAAUGCAGCUCUAAAUGGGUGGUAAAUUUCAUCUAAAGCUAAAUAUUGGCCAGAGACCGAUAGCGCACAAGUAGAGUGAUCGAAAGAUGAAAAGCACUUUGAAAAGAGAGUUAAAAGUACGUGAAAUUGUUGAAAGGGAAGCGCUGGCAACCA